GACGAACGCUGGCGGCGUGCUUAACACAUGCAAGUCGAGCGGUAAGGCCCUUUCGGGGGUACACGAGCGGCGAACGGGUGAGUAACACGUGGGUGACCUGCCCUCAGCUCUGGGAUAAGCCUGGGAAACCGGGUCUAAUACUGGAUAUGACUCCAUGACGCAUGUUGUGGGGUGGAAAGCCUUGUGCGGCUGAGGAUGGGCCCGCGGCCUAUCAGCUUGUUGGUGGGGUAACGGCCUACCAAGGUGA
Molecule: ribosomal RNA, 247 nt
Filed under: uncultured Actinomycetes bacterium
Lineage: Bacteria; Bacillati; Actinomycetota; Actinomycetes
Description: uncultured actinobacterium partial 16S ribosomal RNA
Rfam family: Bacterial small subunit ribosomal RNA
Source: RNAcentral